Molecule: ribosomal RNA, 453 nt
Filed under: uncultured bacterium
Lineage: Bacteria
Description: bacterial SSU rRNA
Rfam family: Bacterial small subunit ribosomal RNA
Source: RNAcentral
AUGAACGCUGGUGGCGUGCCUUAUGCAUGCAAGUCGAACGAUUCCGAUUUAUCGGGAUAGUGGCGAACGGGUGAGUAACACGUAAGUAACCUGCCCCUAAGUAGGGGACAACUUCGAGAAAUUGAAGCUAAUACCUUAUGUGGUGAUGGGGGUAAAGCUUCAUCACUAAAGCCUUCGGGCGCUUGGGGAGGGGCUUGCGUCUGAUUAGCUAGUUGGUGGGGUAACGGCUCACCAAGGCGACGAUCGGUAGCUGGUCUGAGAGGACGGCCAGCCACACUGGGACUGAGACACGGCCCAGACUCCUACGGGAGGCAGCAGCAAGGAAUAUUGCGCAAUGGGCGAAAGCCUGACGCAGCGACGCCACGUGAGGGAUGAAGGCCUUCGGGUCGUAAACCUCUUUUAUCAGGGAAGAAUAAUGACGGUACCUGAGGAAUAAGUCUCGGCUAACUACGU